Molecule: ribosomal RNA, 388 nt
Filed under: Chrysochromulina sp.
Lineage: Eukaryota; Haptophyta; Prymnesiales; Chrysochromulinaceae
Description: partial small subunit ribosomal RNA
Rfam family: Eukaryotic small subunit ribosomal RNA
Source: RNAcentral
AUUCCAGCUCCAAUAGCGUAUAUUAAAGUUGUUGCAGUUAGAACGCUCGUAGUCGGAUUUCGGGGGGGGUCGACCGGUCUGCCGAUGGGUACGCACUGGCCGACGCGUCCUUCCUUCCGGAGACCGUCUCACUCUUAACUGAGCGGAGGCGGGAGACGGAACGUUUACUUUGAAAAAAUCAGAGUGUUUCAAGCAGGCAGCUCGCUCUUGCAUGGAUUAGCAUGGGAUAAUGAAAUAGGACUUUGGUGCUAUUUUGUUGGUUUCGAACACCGAAGUAAUGAUGAGCAGGGACAGUCAGGGGCACUCGUAUUCCGCCGAGAGAGGUGAAAUUCUCAGACCAGCGGAAGACGAACUACUGCGAAAGCAUUUGCCAGGGAUGUUUUCAUUA